UCCUUGGUGAUUCAUAAUAACUUAACGAAUCGCAUGGCCUUGCGCCGGCGAUGGUUCAUUCAAAUUUCUGCCCUAUCAACUUUCAAUCGUAGUAUAGAGGACUACGAUGGUUUCUACGGGUAGUCACUGUUGCCCGUAGUAGACACGUCCGGGCCCCCAAGGAGUCUCGGCAACACCACUGGUUUGGAAGAUACGAUGUUGAUUCCGGGGCGACUCCCUGCGGGACCGCCCGAACGCAUGCAAAGUGGUGGGCUCCUCUCGGGGAGCUUUUGGUACAUGCUGCCCCUGUGGCCGUUGCGUCGCAGGGGGUACAUGAACGGGGAAUUAGGGUUCUAUUCCGGAGAGGGAGCCUGAGAAACGGCUACCACAUCCAAGGAAGGCAGCAGGCGCGCAAAUUACCCAAUCCCGACACGGGGAGGUAGUGACAAUAAAUACUGAUGCAGAGCUCUUUUGGGUUUUGCAAUUGGAAUGAGUACAAUCUAAAUCCCUUAACGAGGAACAAUUGGAGGGCAAGUCUGGUGCCAGCAGCCGCGGUAAUUCCAGCUCCAAUAGCGUAUAUUAAAGUUGUUGCAGUUAAAAAGCUCGUAGUUGAAACUUGGGCCUGGCUGUCCGGUCCGCCUCACCGCGUGCACUGGUUCGGCCGGGCCUUUCCUUC
RNAcentral lists this ribosomal RNA (655 nucleotides) under Cheiromycina flabelliformis. Its description in RNAcentral is "SSU rRNA". It matches the Rfam family "Eukaryotic small subunit ribosomal RNA", at positions 240 to 700 of the family's 1831-position model. The record is from RNAcentral. Lineage: Eukaryota; Fungi; Ascomycota.